GCCUCUGUGGAUUAUGGAAAUCAUCUCAGUUGAGUAGGGCCCUUACAUUCAGUGUUCAAUGAGAAGAAGUGGGUUCAAUUCUCACCAGAGGCA
Mycena filopes is the source of this 93-nucleotide non-coding RNA. Lineage: Eukaryota; Fungi; Basidiomycota; Agaricomycetes; Agaricales; Mycenaceae. The record is from the annotation of a GenBank genome assembly.